Molecule: ribosomal RNA, 327 nt
Filed under: Triticum aestivum (bread wheat)
Lineage: Eukaryota; Viridiplantae; Streptophyta; Magnoliopsida; Poales; Poaceae
Description: partial small subunit ribosomal RNA
Source: RNAcentral
AUGGCAAAGCAUCAACGUCGGAAACUUAUCCCUGAAGAUAUAUAUUCUAUUGAGCUGAACUACACCAGCAACAAGAUAGAUGCUAUUGAAAUGUUAGUUAAACCAUGUGAGUGGUUACUUAGAACGAGAAUCAGAAUCAGAUCAAACGAACACAUAUACAGUGAUACACGUCUAAAAAUUGAGUUUGUAAGAGUGAUGUCCCAUCAAAGAAGAAGGAAAAAAUGGUUAAAUGACCAUUGCCGAUUACUUCCUCGGUUCCAGAAUAUAAGGUGCAUGGAUUUCCAUGCAAGUCAAUUAUAUGAAUGUUUGGCCAAGAUUAUAAAAUAA